Molecule: ribosomal RNA, 492 nt
Filed under: uncultured bacterium
Lineage: Bacteria
Description: partial 16S ribosomal RNA
Rfam family: Bacterial small subunit ribosomal RNA
Source: RNAcentral
AGUGAACGCUGGCGGUAGGCCUAACACAUGCAAGUCGAACGACAGCACAGUAAGAGCUUGCUCUUACGGGUAGCGAGUGGCGGACGGGUGAGGCAUACAUCGGCAUCUACUUUUUCUUGGGGGAUAACGUAGGGCAACUUACGCUAAUAGCGCAUACGACCUACGGGUUAAAGCAGUAGAUCUUCGGACCUUGCCCGUCUGAAUGAGCCGAUGCCGGAUUAGCUAGUUGGUAAGGUAACGGCCUACCAAGGCAACGAUGCGUAGCCGACCUGAGAGGGUGAUCGGCCACACUGGAACUGAGACACGGUCCAGACUCCUACGGGAGGCAGCAGUAGGGAAUCUUCCGCAAUGGGCGAAAGCCUGACGGAGCAACGCCGCGUGAGUGAUGAAGGUCUUCGGAUCGUAAAACUCUGUUAUUAGGGAAGAACAAAUGUGUAAGUAACUAUGCACGUCUUGACGGUACCUAAUCAGAAAGCCACGGCUAACUACGUG